UACGGAGGGGGCCAGCGUUAUUCGGAAUUACUGGGCGUAAAGGGCGCGUAGGCGGUUCGGUCAGUGAGAAGUGAAAGCCCACGGCUUAACGGUGGAGGUGCUUCUCAUACUGCCGAGCUAGAGGAUGGGAGAGGGAAGUGGAAUUCCUGGUGUAGCGGUGAAAUGCGUAGAGAUCAGGAGGAACACCGGUGGCGAAGGCGGCUUCCUGGACCAUGCCUGACGCUGAGGCGCGAAAGCGUGGGGAGCAAACAGG
This 253-nucleotide ribosomal RNA is filed under the name uncultured bacterium. RNAcentral describes it as "partial 16S ribosomal RNA". It matches the Rfam family "Bacterial small subunit ribosomal RNA", at positions 524 to 776 of the family's 1533-position model. The record is from RNAcentral.